This 1369-nucleotide ribosomal RNA is filed under the name uncultured bacterium. RNAcentral's name for it is "bacterial SSU rRNA". It matches the Rfam family "Bacterial small subunit ribosomal RNA", at positions 28 to 1381 of the family's 1533-position model. The record is from RNAcentral.
GACGAACGCUGGCGGCGUGCCUAAUACAUGCAAGUAGAACGCUGAAGAGAGGAGCUUGCUCUUCUUGGAUGAGUUGCGAACGGGUGAGUAACGCGUAGGUAACCUGCCUGGUAGCGGGGGAUAACUAUUGGAAACGAUAGCUAAUACCGCAUAAAAUUGAUUAUUGCAUGAUAAUUAAUUGAAAGAUGCAAUUGCAUCACUACCAGAUGGACCUGCGUUGUAUUAGCUAGUUGGUGAGGUAACGGCUCACCAAGGCGACGAUACAUAGCCGACCUGAGAGGGUGAUCGGCCACACUGGGACUGAGACACGGCCCAGACUCCUACGGGAGGCAGCAGUAGGGAAUCUUCGGCAAUGGGGGGAACCCUGACCGAGCAACGCCGCGUGAGUGAAGAAGGUUUUCGGAUCGUAAAGCUCUGUUGUAAGAGAAGAACGGGUGUGAGAGUGGAAAGUUCACACUGUGACGGUAUCUUACCAGAAAGGGACGGCUAACUACGUGCCAGCAGCCGCGGUAAUACGUAGGUCCCGAGCGUUGUCCGGAUUUAUUGGGCGUAAAGCGAGCGCAGGCGGUUAGAUAAGUCUGAAGUUAAAGGCUGUGGCUUAACCAUAGUAUGCUUUGGAAACUGUUUAACUUGAGUGCAGAAGGGGAGAGUGGAAUUCCAUGUGUAGCGGUGAAAUGCGUAGAUAUAUGGAGGAACACCGGUGGCGAAAGCGGCUCUCUGGUCUGUAACUGACGCUGAGGCUCGAAAGCGUGGGGAGCAAGCAGGAUUAGAUACCCUGGUAGUCCACGCCGUAAACGAUGAGUGCUAGGUGUUAGGCCCUUUCCGGGGCUUAGUGCCGCAGCUAACGCAUUAAGCACUCCGCCUGGGGAGUACGACCGCAAGGUUGAAACUCAAAGGAAUUGACGGGGGCCCGCACAAGCGGUGGAGCAUGUGGUUUAAUUCGAAGCAACGCGAAGAACCUUACCAGGUCUUGACAUCCCUCUGACCGCUCUAGAGAUAGAGUUUUCCUUCGGGACAGAGGUGACAGGUGGUGCAUGGUUGUCGUCAGCUCGUGUCGUGAGAUGUUGGGUUAAGUCCCGCAACGAGCGCAACCCCUAUUGUUAGUUGCCAUCAUUGAGUUGGGCACUCUAGCGAGACUGCCGGUAAUAAACCGGAGGAAGGUGGGGAUGACGUCAAAUCAUCAUGCCCCUUAUGACCUGGGCUACACACGUGCUACAAUGGCUGGUACAACGAGUCGCAAGCCGGUGACGGCAAGCUAAUCUCUGAAAGCCAGUCUCAGUUCGGAUUGUAGGCUGCAACUCGCCUACAUGAAGUCGGAAUCGCUAGUAAUCGCGGAUCAGCACGCCGCGGUGAAUACGUUCCCGGGCCU